This 858-nucleotide long non-coding RNA is filed under the name Lathyrus oleraceus (garden pea). RNAcentral describes it as "Pisum sativum (pea) long non-coding RNA (PSAT_LNC024704)". Lineage: Eukaryota; Viridiplantae; Streptophyta; Magnoliopsida; Fabales; Fabaceae. The record is from RNAcentral.
GCAAUAUUUGCAGCAUAAUUCUAUAACAGAAGUAGCAGCAAGUGAACUCAAAAUAAGUAGAAACUAGUAAAUGAUAAUUAACGGAACCUUGCAAAUCAUGUCAUUUCAAAACCAAAUGAAUGGUCUAUUGUCAUUACAAGGUCAAAUAGCAGUUUUUCAAAAUUACAUCUAACGUUUAUCCAACUUUAGAACCUAUGAGCAUAACAUUUAACUAAUAUUAACUAGCUUCAACAAAAUUGAAAAAAAACUUCAAGCAUAUUUCGAUGGGAUCAUACACAACUAACAACUCUAACAUCUAAUUAAGAUUAUUGGAAAAUAGAUAAUUCGUUUUGAAUUAGAAAGAAGUUAACAGAAUCAACAUCAAUUUAAAAAAAAGGUCUAACAGAAUUACUAACACAUACAAACAGAACCAACUAAAUGCAACUUAAUGAUUCACAGUGAAUUUCAGAUAUUUGAUAUGAGUUCCAAUUUCAUUUGGAUGAUAAAUCCUAACUAACUAUCAAAUUUGAGAGGAAUUUCAUUGUGAAUUUCCACCUAACUUCUAACCAACUCAGAAUGCUAUGAAAAUUUACCGUACUGAGAUUCUGCAGUUUCUUCAAAAAACUUCAAAAUCUCCAAUACUUUCCUCUUUCAGUCUCGUUUUCUUCACCUUCUCGCAAUCGAUUCAUCAUGCAUUUCCAUUUCAGAUCCUCACGCCGCCAAGCUCACACCGUACAUCGAUCCACAACCUUACAACAAAAGCGGUUCUACUGUCGCCGAUUGUCGUCGCGUCGGAGUUCCAUUCCGGUAAGACGCAACGGUCUCGGCGAUUCCGUCAAGGCUGUGGAUAAGGUUCCUUGUUGUUUGGUUGUGUGUUUC